CCCUUAGAUGUUCUGGGCCGCACGCGCGCUACACUGAUACAUGCAACGAGUUUAUAACCUUGAUCUGACGGUCUGGGUAAUCUUCAAACUGUAUCGUGUUAGGGAUCGAUUCUUGCAAUUUUUAAUCGUAAACGAGGAAUUCCUAGUAAACGCAAGUCAUCAGCUUGCAUUGAUUACGUCCCUGCCCUUUGUACACACCGCCCGUCGACUCUACCGAUUGAAUGGUUCGGUGAAAACUUUGGACUGUGGCAUUGUCCUUCAUUGGACUUCGCCGUAGGAAAUUGUUUAAACCUCNUNAUUUAANGGAAGAAUAANUCGUANCA
Molecule: ribosomal RNA, 323 nt
Filed under: uncultured eukaryote
Lineage: Eukaryota
Description: partial 18S ribosomal RNA
Rfam family: Eukaryotic small subunit ribosomal RNA
Source: RNAcentral